CUCGCCUGCCCAGUGACAAUUGUUAAAUGGCCGCGGUAUUUUAACCGUGCUAAGGUAGCGCAAUCACUUGUCUUCUAAAUACGGACCAGUAUGAAUGGUGAGACGAGGGCUUAACUGUCUCCUUUUUCCAGUCAAUGAAACUGAUCUCCCCGUGCAGAAGCGGGGAUAAUUACAUUAGACGAGAAGACCCUGUGGAGCUUAAGACUUCAAAGUGGACCAUACAGCGUUUAGAGCAGACCCCGUGGAACCCACCUCUUUGUCUUUGGUUGGGGUGACCCUGGGGAAAAACAAAACCCCCGAGCGGAAUAGGAGCCUUAAUCCCAAAUCUUUUUUUUACGAUACUCCUUUAUAACCCGAGAAACCUCUCAAGUAACCAGAAUAUCUGACCCAAUUGAUCCAGCACAAGCCGAUCAACGAAUCAAGUUACCCCAGGGAUAACAGCGCAAUCCCCUCCUAGAGUUCCUAUCGACGAGGGGGUUUACGACCUCGAUGUUGGAUCAGGGCAUCCUAAUGGUGUAAUAAU
This 523-nucleotide ribosomal RNA is filed under the name Dagetichthys commersonnii. Its description in RNAcentral is "partial large subunit ribosomal RNA". It matches the Rfam family "Bacterial large subunit ribosomal RNA", at positions 1854 to 2562 of the family's 2925-position model. Lineage: Eukaryota; Metazoa; Chordata; Actinopteri; Pleuronectiformes; Soleidae. The record is from RNAcentral.